RNAcentral lists this long non-coding RNA (1290 nucleotides) under Brassica napus (rape). Its description in RNAcentral is "long non-coding RNA (BNAP_LNC026946)". Lineage: Eukaryota; Viridiplantae; Streptophyta; Magnoliopsida; Brassicales; Brassicaceae. The record is from RNAcentral.
AGAUAGAGUUAGGCAAAAUAUUCAUAAAUUUGAUUUGAUUAGUUAUCCGUUUUGAUUCGAACCAAAAAAUCUGGAUAUCCGUAACUCUACGAAGCAAAUCAAUAAAAUGCAAUAUCCAUAAAAAAAAGCAAAGCACAUAUACCAAUAUUUUUAGGAACGAAUAUCCAAUUUGAUCCGUUAUAUGCAUAUAUGUAUACAUAUCUAUAAAUAAUUGUAUAUAUGUAAGCUAUAUAUAUAUUAGGAUUUUUAAUGUAAAAACCCCUCAAUUAAGUUUAUUUUGGGUUAAACCCCCUAAAUAAAAGAUUUAACAGAAAAACCCCCCAACCUAAAUUAUCUUAAUGAAUCAGACUCUCCGUUAAUUGUCCGUUAAAGUUCGUGAAACAACACGAUUUGUUAAUAAAAACAACACAAUGUUUAACUAAAAAUAUCAUGUAGUUUACCAUUAUCACUUUUAACUUAACAGUUUUAAGUGUCGUAAAAGUCCCAUUACUGAGAGAUACGAGGGAUGAACCCUAAUUUUCGAAAGAAAGAUUUUGAUUAUCGUUAAUUUAGUUCUUGUGAGAAUCUGAGAGAAGCUGUGUUCGUGAGUUCAAACACAAUGACAAUCUUAACUCUUGACAUAAAAUAAGUACAAAAACAACACUUGAAACACAAUCAAAAUGUCAUAGAAACAAGUUAAAACAACACUUUCACCACUAAAACAAGCUGCAACCACAACUCUAUCUUAACAACUUAAUUUAGUUAGCUUUUAACCAAACUGACUUACUUUUAUUCUUCUGGUUGUGUAACUACACAACCAAGUCUUCUUCCUUUCUUGCUCUUCUUCUUCUUCUUCUUCUUUUUCUUCUUCUUCUUCUUCUUCCUCCAUUUCUUGCGCUCCAAGCUUCUUCUUCUUCUUUAUUCUUCUUCUACGUGACUCCUUGAUCACUUCUUCUUUUUGUGUGGCAAGCUUCCUUGCUUCCACUUCUUCUUCUCUUAGAGGAUUUAAUCAAGAUUCAAUCUCAACACUCAAUGUCAAAACAAUAGCCAAAGCUCCUCUGUGUAUUUCAGGAGCUAAUUCCAUUCAAAUUUCGCCUAAAUAGCACAAUCAAUUGAAAACAAAACUUUAAACAAAUUAGAAAAAUCACAUAACAAAGUGAAAGCAAAAGAGAACAAAACGAAAGGCAUAAGGUACACGAAUCACCAGGGAGAAGAUGAACAAUUAUAAACUUGAAAAUUUGAAGAACCCUAAUUUUAACUUUGGGACUCGCCAUACAGAUAUAAGGAAGAAGAAAAUCAUGUCGUUUUUUU